Long non-coding RNA from Zingiber officinale, 1254 nucleotides. RefSeq lists it as uncharacterized. The transcript has 2 exons. Lineage: Eukaryota; Viridiplantae; Streptophyta; Magnoliopsida; Zingiberales; Zingiberaceae. The record is from RefSeq and is a predicted model, not a curated record.
CCAACACAUCGGAGAUGGAUGAACUCAAGCUUGCAGACGGAUCUUUGGAAGUGGGCUGCUUGGAGCUCGGAUGAAGGAGGACCUCUUCUGUUCUAACCUGAAGAGAAGAGGAUUGCCGGUAGAGGACGGAGGGCUCUACUCUUCUAACCCAAAGAGGAGAGGUAGUUGUGGGAUCAUCGGAAGAGAGCCACCGGGGAGGACCUCUUCUCUUUUAACCUGAAGAGAAGAGGGGCUACGGUGGAGGAUGGACUCUCUACUUCUAACACGAAACAGAGAGCAAAAAAGGGCUGCUAGAUCUCCCUCUUUUAACUAGAAGAAGAAGAUGGCCGGAUGAUGAAAGAGGGGAAAAAGAAGAUGACUGGUACCUUCUCUUCUAACUCGAAGAGAAGUUGGUCGGAAAUGGUGGAAGGUGAGGAAAAGGGGGGCCUUGCGGUUCUCUCCUAUGAGGAUUAGAUGAGAGAAAGGAUGGAUGAGGAAAUCUGGAGCUUGCUAUGGGUUACGGCUUAAGGCUUGUUGGUGUCGGAUCCUUGAAGAUGAAGAUCAGUCGAUGUUGUGGAUGGAGGUGGAAGAGAUGGAGAAGGAAUGGAGAAAUUGAUGGAGUGGUGAGGGAGAAGAGAUGGUCGGCCGGCGGUGGUGAGGUGGAGGUGGACUGCAUUCCCUUGGUGGUGGUGGAGAGGAAGAACGAGUCUGCUGUCAUUCCGUCAGGGAUUCGAAAGCAGAAAAACACAAUGCACUCUCCUCUCUCUAGCUUCUCUUUUAGGGCAUGUUUACUCGAAGGAGUGGAUAAGUGAAAGAAAGGAUUCCACUGUAGAAAAAUAUCCCUAGGGGUAGGGAAGGGGAAAGGACGAGAAAGAAAGGGAAGAGAAAAAAAUCUCUACGGACAGAAGAGAAGACAGAGGGAGACGGCAGAGGGGGAGAAGACUGUUCACCUCCGAUAAAAUCUUCACAUAGUUUCCACCUCCGCCUGCUGUCAACUUCCACGAGGAACAGAGCAAACUAUCUGCCAUUGUCUCCAUUGGAUUUUGCCUCUCGUCUGACUCUAUUUCUUCUAUAUUCUCUGAAGAGCUUGCCAACAAAAUGAGAGAUGGAUGAAAUCGAGUAGAUUAAUCUACGAUCAGAGCAAGCAGCUACGGCGGAUGUUGGUUCAGAAAUAGCUACGACGAAUGUUGUGCAAAGCUGGUGGAGCCGUCAGAGUCGUCGGAGGCUCGCGUGGUUGACGAAGGAAAGGCGUUCCAGCUUGUGGGCGAGCCCCCA